RNAcentral lists this long non-coding RNA (287 nucleotides) under Capsella grandiflora. RNAcentral describes it as "long non-coding RNA (CGRA_LNC000194)". Lineage: Eukaryota; Viridiplantae; Streptophyta; Magnoliopsida; Brassicales; Brassicaceae. The record is from RNAcentral.
UGAAUCAACAAGUGAAUGAUGCGGAAAAGAUGAUGAAUACAUGCUCAAAAAUUGAUGAAAUACAGACUUAUCAACUCCCCCAAACUUAGUCUUUGCUUGCCCUCAAGCAAAGCAAAAAGAAACAAAGUGGAAGAGAGGUUUGAAAAUGGGGUCUUAGAAACUGUAACUUGCAAAAUAGAGCAGUUAAAAUCAAUGCCCUGGUUUCUAUGUCUUUGAUGCAUGCUGAGAGAACUUUACUUAAAGACUUUAGACAAACUCAUCAAAUCCGAAACUGAUCCUAUCCCUUG